Molecule: ribosomal RNA, 468 nt
Filed under: uncultured bacterium
Lineage: Bacteria
Description: partial 16S ribosomal RNA
Rfam family: Bacterial small subunit ribosomal RNA
Source: RNAcentral
GACGAACGCUGGCGGCGUGCUUAACACAUGCAAGUCGAACGGAAAGGCCCUGCUUUUGUGGGGUGCUCGAGUGGCGAACGGGUGAGUAACACGUGAGUAACCUGCCCUUGACUUUGGGAUAACUUCAGGAAACUGGGGCUAAUACCGGAUAGGAGCUCCUGCUGCAUGGUGGGGGUUGGAAAGUUUCGGCGGUUGGGGAUGGACUGGCGGCUUAUCAGCUUGUUGGUGGGGUAGUGGCUUACCAAGGCUUUGACGGGUAGCCGGCCUGAGAGGGUGACCGGCCACAUUGGGACUGAGAUACGGCCCAGACUCCUACGGGAGGCAGCAGUGGGGAAUAUUGCGCAAUGGGCGGAAGCCUGAUGCAGCAACGCCGCGUGCGGGAUGACGGCCUUCGGGUUGUAAACCGCUUUCGCCUGUGACGAAGCGUGAGUGACGGUAAUGGGUAAAGAAGCACCGGCUAACUACGUG